This 694-nucleotide long non-coding RNA is filed under the name Gallus gallus (chicken). Lineage: Eukaryota; Metazoa; Chordata; Aves; Galliformes; Phasianidae. The record is from RNAcentral.
GGUAGAAGGACUUCCUGCAGUUCAGCUCGCCGCCCAGGAACGAGGGCAGCCCGGAGGCGGCCGAGAAGACGGAGGCGGCGGAGGGAGGCGGCGGAGCCGAUAACAAAGUCAGACGAGUCCCCGUCGACCAAAGCAGGGCGAGCUUCAUCCCACAGCCGGCCCCCAUCCGAAGGGCAGCGGCCUAAGCAUCAGAAGAGGAUUUGGAGGUGAGAAUGCAACACCACGGCUGGGUCUGGAGCUACCUGCACCUGCAAAGGAAAAGCGAUCUCAUCUGGACAGCAGGACACGAAGGCCCAGCCCAUAGGGGUGCUCAUAGCCCAAGGCCCUGCUCCGAUGUAAUUGUAUCCAUCGUGGGAGAAGCCCCCUGUUGGACUUCAGCCUGACUCCAGCUGGUGUGGGGUCACCUGGGAGGUGCUGGGACUGUUCACACCACUCCCAGCCUCGCAGCAUUGGGGCCCAGAUGUCAGACUGGUUUUGACAGAUGGAUAAAGCAGCAGGGCAGGGGCGGGCAGGAGCACACAGGCAGGAAACAGGCUGAGUUGUUGCACUGAGAGAGGAAAUCCAAAACGGACAGAUGCUAAUUCCCACACAUGCUUUAUCACUCAGGGUGAUAUAAUAAUAAUAAAGAUGGCAACCGCACAGAUGGGAUGAGUCUUUCUUUACAACGACGCGAUGCAGAGUGAGUAAACCACAC